GAUGAACGCUGACAGAAUGCUUAACACAUGCAAGUCUUUGGCGAAGCUGUGCUUGCACAGCCUAGCCAAGGCGGACGGGUGAGUAACGCGUAAGGAACUUGCCCUGCAGUCAGGGAUAACAGACGGAAACGACUGAUAAGACCUGGUAAAGUCAGGCGGAAUCAUGUCCAGCCUGAUGAAAAGAGAUGCUGCAGGAGAGCCUUGCGUCCUAUUAGCUUGUUGGUGGGGUAACGGCCCACCAAGGCGAUGAUAGGUAGCCGGCCUGAGAGGGUGGACGGCCACAAGGGGACUGAGAUACGGCCCUUACUCCUACGGGAGGCAGCAGUGGGGAAUAUUGGACAAUGGGGGCAACCCUGAUCCAGCAAUUCUGUGUGCACGAUGAAGGUUUUCGGAUUGUAAAGUGCUUUCAGCAGGGAAGAAAAAAAUGACGGUACCUGCAGAAGAAGCGACGGCUAAAUACGUG
RNAcentral lists this ribosomal RNA (463 nucleotides) under uncultured bacterium. Its description in RNAcentral is "partial 16S ribosomal RNA". It matches the Rfam family "Bacterial small subunit ribosomal RNA", at positions 28 to 507 of the family's 1533-position model. The record is from RNAcentral.